RNAcentral lists this ribosomal RNA (515 nucleotides) under Escherichia coli. RNAcentral's name for it is "partial 23S ribosomal RNA". It matches the Rfam family "Bacterial large subunit ribosomal RNA", at positions 2392 to 2901 of the family's 2925-position model. The record is from RNAcentral. Lineage: Bacteria; Pseudomonadati; Pseudomonadota; Gammaproteobacteria; Enterobacterales; Enterobacteriaceae.
AGCAGGUGCGAAAGCAGGUCAUAGUGAUCCGGUGGUUCUGAAUGGAAGGGCCAUCGCUCAACGGAUAAAAGGUACUCCGGGGAUAACAGGCUGAUACCGCCCAAGAGUUCAUAUCGACGGCGGUGUUUGGCACCUCGAUGUCGGCUCAUCACAUCCUGGGGCUGAAGUAGGUCCCAAGGGUAUGGCUGUUCGCCAUUUAAAGUGGUACGCGAGCUGGGUUUAGAACGUCGUGAGACAGUUCGGUCCCUAUCUGCCGUGGGCGCUGGAGAACUGAGGGGGGCUGCUCCUAGUACGAGAGGACCGGAGUGGACGCAUCACUGGUGUUCGGGUUGUCAUGCCAAUGGCACUGCCCGGUAGCUAAAUGCGGAAGAGAUAAGUGCUGAAAGCAUCUAAGCACGAAACUUGCCCCGAGAUGAGUUCUCCCUGACCCUUUAAGGGUCCUGAAGGAACGUUGAAGACGACGACGUUGAUAGGCCGGGUGUGUAAGCGCAGCGAUGCGUUGAGCUAACCGGUAC